RNAcentral lists this transfer RNA (88 nucleotides) under Nostoc linckia z1. RNAcentral describes it as "tRNA-Ser". It matches the Rfam family "tRNA". From Rfam's summary of the family: Transfer RNA (tRNA) molecules are approximately 80 nucleotides in length. Their secondary structure includes four short double-helical elements and three loops (D, anti-codon, and T loops). Lineage: Bacteria; Bacillati; Cyanobacteriota; Cyanophyceae; Nostocales; Nostocaceae. RNAcentral also lists the same sequence under 12 other names. The record is from RNAcentral.
GGAGAAGUGACCGAGUGGCCGAAGGUAGCUGUUUGCUAAACAGUAUCGGAUAAUACCGACGCAGGUUCAAAUCCUGUCUUCUCCGCCU